RNAcentral lists this ribosomal RNA (433 nucleotides) under uncultured bacterium. Its description in RNAcentral is "partial 16S ribosomal RNA". It matches the Rfam family "Bacterial small subunit ribosomal RNA", at positions 29 to 507 of the family's 1533-position model. The record is from RNAcentral.
AACGAACGCUGGCGGCAUGCCUAACACAUGCAAGUCGAACGAGACCUUCGGGUCUAGUGGCGCACGGGUGCGUAACGCGUGGGAACCUGCCCUUAGGUUCGGAAUAACUCCCCUAAAGGGGUGCUAAUACCGGAUAAUGUCUUCGGACCAAAGAUUUAUCGCCUUUGGAUGGGCCCGCGUUGGUUUAGCUAGUUGGUAGGGUAAAAGCCUACCAAGGCUACGAUCCAUAGCUGGUCGGAGAGGAUGAUCAGCCACACUGGGACUGAGACACGGCCCAGACUACUACGGGAGGCAGCAGUGGGGAAUAUUGGACAAUGGGCGAAAGCCUGAUCCAGCAAUGCCGCGUGAGUGAUGAAGGCCUUAGGGUUGUAAAGCUCUUUUACCCGGGAUGAUAAUGACAGUACCGGGAGAAUAAGCUCCGGCUAACUCCGUG